Melanotaenia boesemani (Boeseman's rainbowfish) is the source of this 402-nucleotide long non-coding RNA. RefSeq lists it as uncharacterized. Lineage: Eukaryota; Metazoa; Chordata; Actinopteri; Atheriniformes; Melanotaeniidae. The record is from RefSeq and is a predicted model, not a curated record. The transcript is spliced from 3 exons.
AAAUACCACCAGCUGUUACGGCCAAGCUGCUUUCUCUCUGCGGCGGCUCAACGUCACUUUUGACGGAAUUCCUCAUGGUCUAAACGAGCCGGCUUAAUGGCUAAUUUAUAACCGUGAAAGUUACGUCACGAAACAUGUUGAUACGGAUCUUUGAGCAUUUUUUAGUGGUUAUACAGAAAUUUGUGACCUUUUCUAGUGGGUAUACGGCAUAUACCUGCGUAUCACGUAGACUACACCACUGGUUAUACAGUAGCUACAGUUACAUUGUGCGUAACUGAUUGUUUAGAAUGAAAAAUAGGUUGAAUGGGUUGUCAUUGUUUCUCUCAUUACAUUUAUAGCCUGUAAUUCAGUCAUUUUUGCUGUAGACAUUAGUACUGACUGGGCAGAUAAAUAAAUAAAAAG